This 287-nucleotide long non-coding RNA is filed under the name Rosa chinensis. RNAcentral describes it as "sRNA RchiOBHm_Chr7g0185601". Lineage: Eukaryota; Viridiplantae; Streptophyta; Magnoliopsida; Rosales; Rosaceae. The record is from RNAcentral.
AUGUUUCUACUUUGUGUCAUCAACUCAGUAUGUGUUUCGAAUUGUGAAUUUGAUGGUUUUAUUGUGCUGCAAUUGUUAUGGAUCAUGAUUUGAGAAUUACCUUAAAAUUAAUUGUGUUUUCAAUCCUCUAGUCAACAAGAGAGUGGUGUUGGCAAUGUGCACAUUACAUAUGACGUGACCAUGAUUAGUGGCACAGUCAUUGAGCUGUGGUAGCUCGGGGGCUUUGGAAGCCUGAUUAUUUUCAUGACUGAGUUUGCUGUGGCAACUGGUUGUGUUGGAGUUUAGAU